UAUCUACAGGCUUAACACAUGCAAGUCGAGGGGCAUCAGGAAGAAAGCUUGCUUUCUUUGCUGGCGACCGGCGCACGGGUGAGUAACACGUAUCCAACCUGCCCUUUACUCGGGGAUAGCCUUUCGAAAGAAAGAUUAAUACCCGAUAGCAUAAUGAUUCCGCAUGGUUUCAUUAUUAAAGGAUUCCGGUAAAGGAUGGGGAUGCGUUCCAUUAGGUUGUUGGUGAGGUAACGGCCCACCAAGCCUUCGAUGGAUAGGGGUUCUGAGAGGAAGGUCCCCCACAUUGGAACUGAGACACGGUCCAAACUCCUACGGGAGGCAGCAGUGAGGAAUAUUGGUCAAUGGGCGCUAGCCUGAACCAGCCAAGUAGCGUGAAGGAUGAAGGCUCUAUGGGUCGUAAACUUCUUUUAUAUAAGAAUAAAGUGCAGUAUGUAUACUGUUUUGUAUGUAUUAUAUGAAUAAGGAUCGGCUAACUCCGUGCCAGCAGCCGCGGUAAUACGGAGGAUCCGAGCGUUAUCCGGAUUUAUUGGGUUUAAAGGGAGCGUAGGUGGACUGGUAAGUCAGUUGUGAAAGUUUGCGGCUCAACCGUAAAAUUGCAGUUGAUACUGUCAGUCUUGAGUACAGUAGAGGUGGGCGGAAUUCGUGGUGUAGCGGUGAAAUGCUUAGAUAUCACGAAGAACUCCGAUUGCGAAGGCAGCUCACUGGACUGCAACUGACACUGAUGCUCGAAAGUGUGGGUAUCAAACAGGAUUAGAUACCCUGGUAGUCCACACAGUAAACGAUGAAUACUCGCUGUUUGCGAUAUACAGUAAGCGGCCAAGCGAAAGCAUUAAGUAUUCCACCUGGGGAGUACGCCGGCAACGGUGAAACUCAAAGGAAUUGACGGGGGCCCGCACAAGCGGAGGAACAUGUGGUUUAAUUCGAUGAUACGCGAGGAACCUUACCCGGGCUUAAAUUGCAGUGGAAUGAUGUGGAAACAUGUCAGUGAGCAAUCACCGCUGUGAAGGUGCUGCAUGGUUGUCGUCAGCUCGUGCCGUGAGGUGUCGGCUUAAGUGCCAUAACGAGCGCAACCCUUAUCUUUAGUUACUAACAGGUUAUGCUGAGGACUCUAGAGAGACUGCCGUCGUAAGAUGUGAGGAAGGUGGGGAUGACGUCAAAUCAGCACGGCCCUUACGUCCGGGGCUACACACGUGUUACAAUGGGGGGUACAGAAGGCAGCUAGCGGGUGACCGUAUGCUAAUCCCAAAAUCCUCUCUCAGUUCGGAUCGAAGUCUGCAACCCGACUUCGUGAAGCUGGAUUCGCUAGUAAUCGCGCAUCAGCCACGGCGCGGUGAAUACGUUCCCGGGCCUUGUACACACCGCCCGUCAAGCCAUGGGAGCCGGGGGUACCUGGAGUACGUAACCGCAAGGAUCGUCCUAGGGUAAAACUGGUGACUGGGGCUAA
This 1444-nucleotide ribosomal RNA is filed under the name uncultured organism. RNAcentral describes it as "SSU rRNA". It matches the Rfam family "Bacterial small subunit ribosomal RNA". The record is from RNAcentral.